This is a long non-coding RNA of Vigna radiata var. radiata (mung bean), 458 nucleotides long. RefSeq lists it as uncharacterized. The transcript is spliced from 3 exons. The record is from RefSeq and is a predicted model, not a curated record. NCBI's taxonomy places the organism in Eukaryota, Viridiplantae, Streptophyta, Magnoliopsida, Fabales, Fabaceae.
GAUGUUUCCUUCUAUGACUGCUAGAGCUAUCAACCUCGAUGUUAUAUCCAAUGGCAUGGGUGGAACAAGAAAUGGUGCUCUCUACAAGUGGCACUGUAAUUGACUGCAAAAGUAAUGGAAGAUAAUCCUCCCUCAAGUCUUUUAGAUUGGGUGGUUAUUGGAGUCAAAUUUGGUAUGGCUACACGCAACAAAAAGUUUCUGAGAUGUGGAAUCUCAACAGGUCUUGAUGCUACAUUAAAUGUUGCAAAACCAAGGAAAGAUUCAUCAUUAGCUAUAUUUGGAUUGGGAGCUUUGGGACUUGUUGUGAGUUGCCUUGCCUCUUUCAAAAUGAAAGGAAAUUUUUGUAAAUUUUUUGCGUUUACAUUUUCUGUAGGCGAGGCAGCUAGACUCACCGGUGCUUCCAAGAUAAUUGGGGUUGACUUGAUUCAAUGAAUUUGAUUUAGUAUAUGGUUUGAUGU